GUUCCGUAGGUGAACCUGCGGAAGGAUCAUUACCGAGCGAUUGCGCUCUGGGUCCAACCUCCCUUCCCCGUCUCUUGUACCUCCUUGCGUCUCCAGGCCCGCCUCACCCCCGCCGGGGGGCAUCUAGCCCCUUGGCACGCGCCCUCCGAAGCCAACAACGAAUACUAUCUGCAACUUGCAAUAUCAGUGCUCUGAUAUAUGAUAUCAAUCUAUCAACAACGGAAUUCUUGGUUCCCGCUUCGAGGAAGAACGCAGCAGAUCGCAAGAGCACACGUCUCU
RNAcentral lists this unclassified non-coding RNA (279 nucleotides) under plant metagenome. RNAcentral describes it as "partial contains small subunit ribosomal RNA, internal transcribed spacer 1, and 5.8S ribosomal RNA". The record is from RNAcentral.